UGCCAGCCGCCGCGGUAACACGGGGGGCGCAAGCGUUAUUCGGAAUUAUUGGGCGUAAAGGGCGCGCAGGCGGUCUUGUCCGUCAGGUGUGAAAGCUCGGGGCUCAACCCCGGAAGUGCACUUGAAACAGCAAGACUUGAAUACGGUAGAGGAGAGAGGAAUUCCUGGUGUAGAGGUGAAAUGCGUAGAUAUCUAGAGGAACGCCGGUGGCGAAAGCGGUACCCUGGCCUGUCACUGACGCUGAGGCGCGAAAGCGUGGGUAGCAAACAGGAUUAGAUA
This 279-nucleotide ribosomal RNA is filed under the name uncultured bacterium. RNAcentral's name for it is "partial 16S ribosomal RNA". It matches the Rfam family "Bacterial small subunit ribosomal RNA", at positions 506 to 784 of the family's 1533-position model. The record is from RNAcentral.